Molecule: ribosomal RNA, 467 nt
Filed under: uncultured bacterium
Lineage: Bacteria
Description: partial 16S ribosomal RNA
Rfam family: Bacterial small subunit ribosomal RNA
Source: RNAcentral
GACGAACGCUGGCGGCGUGCUUAACACAUGCAAGUCGAACGGAAAGGCCCUGCUUUUGUGGGGUGCUCGAGUGGCGAACGGGUGAGUAACACGUGAGUAACCUGCCCUUGACUUUGGGAUAACUUCAGGAAACUGGGGCUAAUACCGGAUAGGAGCUCCUGCUGCAUGGUGGGGGUUGGAAAGUUUCGGCGGUUGGGGAUGGACUCGCGGCUUAUCAGCUUGUUGGUGGGGUAGUGGCUUACCAAGGCUUUGACGGGUAGCCGGCCUGAGAGGGUGACCGGCCAAAUUGGGACUGAGAUACGGCCCAGACCCCUACGGGGGGCAGCAGUGGGGAAUAUUGCACAAUGGGCGGAAGCCUGAUGCAGCAACGCCGGGGGGGGGAGGACGGCCUUCGGGUUGUAAACCGCUUUCGCCUGUGACGAAGCGUGAGUGACGGUAAUGGGUAAAGAAGCACCGGCUAACUACGU